AAGUUAUAAAAAGUCUUAAAUUAGGGUUUAAUUAUGAAUAUUGAAAAGUAGAGUUAAAUAUGAUAAGACAUUAAGUAGAAAAGAAGUAUGAAUUAAGUUAGAAAAAUAAGUAAGCUUAGUUAGAAUUAAAUUGGGAAUAAGUAGGAAUUGAAUAAAAUUUAAUUAUUAUUAUUAUUAUUUUUAAUGUUGUAAUUAAUAGUGAAAAUAAUUAUUAUUUUCGUAGCUAACAAGGAAAACGAGGCAUCGGCAUCCAAAGGAAAAGAAAAGAUCGUUGAGGAUUAAACGUGUAUUCCGGGUUUGUAUUACUAUAACUUAAACUAUUUACUAAAUGCUAUAUUGAAAUAUAUGUGAAUUGAAAUAAUAGAUGUUUUGAAUUGUUUGAGUAUUUGAGAUUGUUGUGGAAAUGAAUUCGAAAUUGGAAAAGUAAAAUAAUACCCUAUUAACUUAUCGGACUAGAUUGGAUACAAAUGGCAUGCCAUCGGAUUUGUGAUAUGGUGAUGAGAUUUGUAGUUCGGCCGAUAAGAUGAUUAUAUUAUUAUAUGCUUCGGUUUAUCCGAAAAGGCAUUUAAUGCCUUAUUGGUGUGUUCUGGAGGAUUUAAAUAAUUUCGGGUGUGUUUAGGUUGGAUAUUCUGGUGUGUUUGGGUGGAAUCCUCGUAUCUGUCAGAGUCCAAGCCUUGUUAAUAGGGUAAAUAAUUGAAAUGAAAAUUUGAAAAUGAAAUUGGUUGAUUUGACACUAUAGAAAAAUACGAGAAAGAAUGUAUGAGUUAAAUUAUAAAUUUAAUUAGUAUGUAAAUACAUAUAUAUAUAAAUUUAAGAUCUAUGGAAUGAUAUAUGAAUAUGUAUAUUUAAUUUAAAGUGAUUUAUAAGAUUAUGGUCAAUAUUUGAAAUCUUAUUAUUAAAUAGUUUAAUUUAUAGUAAUACCACUGAGUAUGAUAUACUCAGCGUACGGUUGUUUCCGUGCGCAGGUUGUAGAAGUCAAGUACUGAAUCAGCAUCCAAACCAGACCCGACUUCAACAAAUUUUGGUGAUGUAUAUUUUCUUUUAGUAAUGUGGCAUGUACAUAGGAUGUGU
This 1071-nucleotide long non-coding RNA is filed under the name Gossypium raimondii (Peruvian cotton). RNAcentral's name for it is "long non-coding RNA (GRAI_LNC006773)". Lineage: Eukaryota; Viridiplantae; Streptophyta; Magnoliopsida; Malvales; Malvaceae. The record is from RNAcentral.